GGUCUCUUAGCAAAGUGGCUAUGCACCGGUCUGCAAAACCGUUCACGGCGGUUCGAAUCCGCCAGAGACCU
RNAcentral lists this transfer RNA (71 nucleotides) under Bacteroidales bacterium. RNAcentral's name for it is "tRNA-Cys". It matches the Rfam family "tRNA". Rfam says of the family: Transfer RNA (tRNA) molecules are approximately 80 nucleotides in length. Their secondary structure includes four short double-helical elements and three loops (D, anti-codon, and T loops). Lineage: Bacteria; Pseudomonadati; Bacteroidota; Bacteroidia; Bacteroidales. The record is from RNAcentral.